Molecule: ribosomal RNA, 334 nt
Filed under: Brachistosternus negrei
Lineage: Eukaryota; Metazoa; Arthropoda; Arachnida; Scorpiones; Bothriuridae
Description: partial 12S small subunit ribosomal RNA
Source: RNAcentral
UAAAAAUUUACUUAUUUUAGGUAGUAACAGAUUUCUUGAAACCUAAAGAAUUUGGCGGUAUUUUAAAUAAUUAGAGGAACCUGUUAAAUAAAUGAUAAUCCACAACAUAUCUUUCCUAAAUUAAGUUUGUAUACCGUUGUUUUCAGAUUAUAUUUAAAGAUUAUGAUCAAAAUUAAAAAAUUUUCAUAAAUCAAAUCAAGGUGCAGCACAUUUAGGUUUUAAUGGGUUACAAUAUAUUUAUAUAUACGGAUUUAUUAUGAAAAUAUUUUUUGAAGGUGGAUUUAAAAGUAAUUUUAAAUUAAAAUGUAAAAAUGAAUAAAAAUUUAAAAUAUGC